GAUGAACGCUGGCGGCGUGCCUAAUACAUGCAAGUCGAGCGAACGGACGAGAAGCUUGCUUCUCUGAUGUUAGCGGCUGACGGGUGAGUAACACGUGGAUAACCUACCUAUAAGACUGGGAUAACUUCGGGAAACCGUAGCUAAUACCGGAUAAUAGUUUGAACCGCAUGGUUCAAAAGUUAAAGAUGGUCUUGCUGUCACUUAUAGAUGGAUCCGCGCUGCAUUAGCUAGUUGGUAAGGUAACGGCUUACCAAGGCAACGAUGCAUAGCCGACCUGAGAGGGUGAUUGGCCACACUGGAACUGAGACAGGUUCACGACUCCUAAGGGAGGCAGCAGUAGGGAAUAUUCCGCAAUGGGCGAAAGCCUGACGGAGCAACGCCGCGUGAGUGAUGAAGGUCUUAGGAUCGUAAAACUCCGUUAUUAGGGAAGAACAUAUGUGUAAGUAACUGUGCACAUCUUGACGGUACCUAAUCAGAAAGACACGGCUAACUACGUG
RNAcentral lists this ribosomal RNA (497 nucleotides) under uncultured bacterium. RNAcentral describes it as "partial 16S ribosomal RNA". It matches the Rfam family "Bacterial small subunit ribosomal RNA", at positions 28 to 507 of the family's 1533-position model. The record is from RNAcentral.